RNAcentral lists this ribosomal RNA (638 nucleotides) under uncultured bacterium. RNAcentral describes it as "bacterial SSU rRNA". It matches the Rfam family "Bacterial small subunit ribosomal RNA", at positions 202 to 842 of the family's 1533-position model. The record is from RNAcentral.
GAAAGAAUAUCGGAGACGGAUGGGCAUGCGGCGCAUUAGCUAGUUGGCGGGGUAACGGCCCACCAAGGCGACGAUGCGUAGGGGUUCUGAGAGGAAGGUCCCCCACACUGGUACUGAGACACGGACCAGACUCCUACGGGAGGCAGCAGUGAGGAAUAUUGGUCAAUGGGCGAGAGCCUGAACCAGCCAAGUCGCGUGAGGGAGUACUGCCCUAUGGGUUGUAAACCUCUUUUGUCGGGGAGCAAAAGCCGGACGUGUCCGGCUGUGAGAGUACCCGAAGAAAAAGCAUCGGCUAACUCCGUGCCAGCAGCCGCGGUAAUACGGAGGAUGCGAGCGUCAUCCGGAUUUAUUGGGUUUAAAGGGUGCGCAGGCGGAUUUUUAAGUCAGCGGUCAAAUCGUGGGGCUCAACCCCAUCCAGCCGUUGAAACUGGGGAUCUAGAGUGUGCGAGAGGUAUGCGGAAUGCGUGGUGUAGCGGUGAAAUGCAUAGAUAUCACGCAGAACCCCGAUUGCGAAGGCAGCAUACCGGUGCACAACUGACGCUCAGGCACGAAAGCGUGGGUAUCGAACAGGAUUAGAUACCCUGGUAGUCCACGCAGUAAACGAUGAAUGCUACCUGUUUGGCCAGAUUGAAGGCUGA